Molecule: ribosomal RNA, 91 nt
Filed under: Staphylococcus epidermidis
Lineage: Bacteria; Bacillati; Bacillota; Bacilli; Caryophanales; Staphylococcaceae
Also listed under: 3 other names
Source: RNAcentral
UCUGGUGACAAUGGCAAGGAGGUCACACCUGUUCCCAUGCCGAACACAGAAGUUAAGCUCCUUAGCGCCGAUGGUAGUCGGACUGACGUUC